UGGCUCAGAACGAACGCUGGCGGCAGGCCUAACACAUGCAAGUCGAGCGCCGUAGCAAUACGGAGCGGCAGACGGGAGAGUAACACGUGGGAACGUACCUUUCGGUUCGGAACAACCCAGGGAAACUUGGGCUAAUACCGGAUACGCCCUUACGGGGAAAGAUUUAUCGCUGAAGGAUCGGCCCGCGUCUGAUUAGCUAGUUGGUGAGGUAACGGCCCACCAAGGCGACGAUCAGUAGCUGGUCUGAGAGGAUGAUCAGCCACACUGGGACUGAGACACGGCCCAGGGUCCUACGGGAGGCAGCAUUGGG
Molecule: ribosomal RNA, 310 nt
Filed under: uncultured Hyphomicrobiales bacterium
Lineage: Bacteria; Pseudomonadati; Pseudomonadota; Alphaproteobacteria; Hyphomicrobiales
Description: bacterial SSU rRNA
Rfam family: Bacterial small subunit ribosomal RNA
Source: RNAcentral